This 152-nucleotide small RNA is filed under the name Chrysemys picta bellii (western painted turtle). RNAcentral's name for it is "TUC338 (ENSCPBG00000011836.1)". The record is from RNAcentral. Lineage: Eukaryota; Metazoa; Chordata; Testudines; Emydidae.
UUAAGAACCAGAAUGCUUUAUUAACCCACAGAACAAUUUGAGCACAGGCAGUAGGAGUGCAAGUUCCCCUACAUUACCCCACCAAUGUUCCUCAACACUAACUUGGAGUGAUUACUGUUAGAAAUGAGAGACUAGAUUAGUCAAUGUCGCCU